GGUGAGAGGCUCUGGGCUGCGGC
Molecule: non-coding RNA, 23 nt
Filed under: Cricetulus griseus (Chinese hamster)
Lineage: Eukaryota; Metazoa; Chordata; Mammalia; Rodentia; Cricetidae
Source: RNAcentral